This is a long non-coding RNA of Equus caballus (horse), 3557 nucleotides long. Lineage: Eukaryota; Metazoa; Chordata; Mammalia; Perissodactyla; Equidae. The record is from Ensembl.
AAUUUCCGCAGCUCAGUUUGCUCCUCGCUCAUCCCCUACCCUCCUCUGGGACCUUCGAGAGCUCAGGCCCUAGGUGGCUGGAUGACUAUAUAGCAACGUAAGUGCACAGCUGCUGGAUUCUGCCCGAGGAGUGGCUGCACCCCAAUGCCCCAAAUGCUGAGACAGGUGCCUCUGAGAGAAGGAGCAGCAGAGACACUGUGCUGAUGCAGAAAGAGCUGGUCUGAGGGUCCAGAGGGAAGGACACAGUCCCAGCUUUGCUGUGGGGUGAGCAGUGAGCCCCUCCCUGUUGGGCCUCACUUACACCUGGAACCUAAGGUGACUGGAGCCCUAGGACUCUCCAUGACCUCAAAGUCAGCCUCUAGAGGCCUCACAGGGUGCAGGAAGAUUAGCCCUGAGCUAACAUCUGCCACCAAUCCUUCUCUUUUUUGCUGAGGAAGACUGGCCCUGAGCUAAUAUCCAUGCCCAUCUUCCUCUACUUUAUAUGAGGGAUGCCUACCACAGCAUGGCUUGCCAAGCAGUGCCAUGUCCGCACCCGGGAUCUGAACCGACGAACCCCGGGCUGCUGAAACGGAACAUGCGAACUUAACCACUGUGCCACCAGGCCGGCCCCACCACGCUCACAUUCUUGAGAUUUCUGUUGAUGAUUUCGCUGUUUAAAAUGGCCCCAAGGGUAGUGCCAAAGAGCUGUCUGGUGUUCCUAAGCACAAGAAGGCUGCCAUGUGCCCUACGGAGAAAAUACCUUCGUUCAGGUAGGAGUUACAGCGCUACUGACCGUGAGUUUACUGUUAUGGAAGCGAUUACAUCUCCAUAGAAACAGAAGAAGGUGUCUUUACACAGAAGCACACAGACAAGGUUACGUAUGGAUCGGUUGACGACCGUUGGUGAGUGAGGCUCACAGGAACCCAACCCUGUCCUUCUCCUAGGAACAGCAGCUCAGUAUUUGCUAAUUCAUUGUUCAUGGGGACUUUCUAGAACAUAACCACCGUGCACAAUGAGAAUCGACUGGACUUUCCUUCCUACGGAAGGUGCUUAGGCCUAUCAUGGGAUGCAAGAUUAAAGGAGAUACAGGGCCGACAGCUGAUGUCACCUACUAUUCAGGCAGCACUGUCUUCCCAGACCAGGUCAGGUCCCUCUCACUCCUAGGACCCUGUCUUUGUCUUUAAUAAUAGUGUUUAAAAUAGUAAUAAUGGCCACUAACACCAACUGAGCACUUACCGAGAGCCAGGCGCAUAUUAACGACUUCACAUUUACCACAUGUACCUCGUCUAAUCCUCCUGUGCUCUGCCAAACCUGGGUGGUUACAGGCCUCGGGCCCGAGGUAGCUUGUGUUGUCACAGAAAGGGCUCAGCACCCUCACUGCCCUGGGUUCCUCAAGGGAAAGGCUGGGCCUGCCUGGGAAAAGCCAUUACUUCAAGGAUUUUUAGACCGUUUUCUAGCUCUGGGGUGCAUAGUGGAAGAUGGAAGAACCUGGGCCUCAGUCGAGCCCUGAGAUAUGGCCUGAGAGGGCAGCUAACGUGUCCCCAAGCUGUGCCCCCAAGCAUACCACCACUGAGCCCGGCCCACUGCAGGGCAGCACUGGCCCUCUACUGACUGUGGUGGGCGCCAGACUGCCUUCCUCCACCUUACAUGACAGCCACUUGCCCUCUCCGUCCCAGCCUGGCAUGGUGAAAGGGCCCGGACGCCAGCCUGAGUGCCAGAUCUCAGCCUCAGCUCCACCCCAGCUGAAAUGUGAGAGCCUGAGUAUGGUGCCACUUGGCACAUGGGUGGCCCCGGGCCACUGUCAGCUUCACCCUGUGGCCCUGAGCAAGCAUCUCACAUCUUCAGCCUCUGGUUUUUCCCAUCUGUAAAGCAAAAGAGGAAUAAUUACUUCCUGCUUCCAAGUUUUCACGUUUACUAUCUCACGAUUGUAGGAGAGAAGCAAGGCCAGUAAAGAGCACAAAGACAGUAAUUGUUACUGUUGCUGAUAAAAUCGUAUGAAGAAAGUAAUAUUCCCUGGAUGCUAAAAAGAAACCAAGUGACAUCAUUAAUCAUCUCAUUUUUCAUAUUUUUCACUAAGUCAGGAUAGGCUGGGCUCCUCAAAAGGAAAAGCCAAAUUCUCAGACUAUUCCUGCCACUGAGCUCCCUGUGGAAGGAGGCAUACAAGGCAAUCACUGACCAGUCAUAGGUGCUGAUUACCUCCAAGAUACUGACAGUACUACUUAUAGGCAGCGAGAGUGAGAAAAGCUCAGAAACAGCCCCCUGAAAGGUGAGGAGAAGGAGCAACAGGCCCCUCUCCAGCUGGGCCUCUGGGAAGAUGUAAAUAGGGCUGAGUGGCAGGAGGAGAACCAGGACAAUUCUCUCCUCCUGCUGCGAGCGGGGAGCUGUGACCCUGGAGUCCCAACAGCCCACCUGCCUCUCGGCUGCCCCUGCCGGAAACUGCACAGGGCCCAAGCCUGGACAGUCGGAGCCCAGGUAAGCCGCCCCAGGUGCAGAAGUGACCUUGGCUGCAGGAAGUCCUGUCUCCCGCCUGCAACUAAUUGCAGCCGCUGCAGAGGAGCCAACCUAAUUACACAAAAAUAUGUGGCUCCCACAUUCCUGGGCCACUGCACACUCUCACACAUCUCACAGGAGAUGCAGCCCCUGCCUCCUGCUCUGGCUCCAGCCCCUCUCUUGUUCCAUUGAGCCUCCUAAGAUGGUCCCCUCUCCCGCAGCUCUCUAGAAGCUCCUGGGGGCUGCCCCAGCAGCAAUUCCCUCCACUCUCCCUUGCCUGCCUCUGAGGCACUUAACCCUCAUCUUGGCCUAAUGUAAAUAUUUAAUCCUGUACAUUUAGGAUCUGCCUGUCACUUGCCUCCACCCUGUUCUCUCCUCAUCCAAAUGGUCUCCCUGUCCGACCCAGGAGCAAGGGCAGGAUUGUGACGGGCUCCCCGACCCCGCAGAGCUCCCCACCUAGCCUAGCACCCAGCUGACGCUUCAUAACCAUCCAUGGUGGUGACAAAUGCCCCAGUGCUUACCAGCUGUACAACCUGGAUCAACGUGCAUGCUCUGAGCUUCAGUGUUCUCAUCUGUCAAAUGGUGCUUACAACACCUACCUCACAGAGUUUCCCAGAGAUUAAAAUCUAACAUGGUACCUGGCAUAUACUAGGGACUCCAUUAACAUUUAUUGAACUGAGCUGAGAGCCUCACAUCUACUGAGCAUCCACGAUGGACCAGGAUCUUGUGCAUCUAAGACAGCUCAUCCACCUGCUUGUAAGCGUCCCUCCGCCCCAGGCCCACUCUAAGAGAGUUCUCUGUCUGCCAGCCUGUUCCUGCUUCUUCUGGGAGGCAGCAUCAGGAGCCUGGCAGGCAGGACAGGGGAAGGACAGAAUUGGAGAAAAACUUAGCAGAAGGGUGGGCCCAUCUACAACAUAAAGAGCUGCAGUGGGGGGUGCACAGAGAAGAGGAAAGCUGGGUGUGGGGGGAACUGCAGUGGGGCACAUGGGCUCAAAUGUGCUGCUGGGGCACAGGACAGGGACUCCUAACCUUCAACUUUCCUUCAAAGGACAAUAAAGGGACAGCUUUCCAAUUACUUCUGGCUGCAU